AACGAACGCUGGCGGCGGGGCUUAGGCAUGCAAGUCGCGCGAGAAAGCCGCAAGGCAAGUACAGCGGCGUAAGGGUGAGUAAUAGGUAGUCAACGUACCCAUUUGACGCGGAUAAUUCUCCGAAAGGGUUGUAAUACGCGAUGAGACCACGGGCCCUUUGGGGUUUGGGCGUAAAGGUCGGGAGUCCUUCGGACCUGGCGCGGAUGGAGCGGACGACCUCCGAUUAGCUAGUUGG
This 235-nucleotide ribosomal RNA is filed under the name uncultured bacterium. RNAcentral's name for it is "partial 16S ribosomal RNA". It matches the Rfam family "Bacterial small subunit ribosomal RNA", at positions 29 to 252 of the family's 1533-position model. The record is from RNAcentral.